CCCAGCAAAGAUAGGAAUCAGUGUUUCCAAACAGCCCACCGUCUAAUUUGUACUUAUGCAAAAGAGCCAUCCCAUAACACAAAUCAUGGAGCAAUUAACAUGCAGCACUCCAGCACAACUCUCCUUGCUCCUUUUUGAACUACCCUCAAUGCCAUUAAUGAGAGCUAAUUAAAUCAAUCGAGUCCCUGCCAUACUGGAAGAUGACUGGAGCAGUAUCAGAUCAGCUUUCUCAGGAACUUGUGUCCUUACACUGACCUGCAGCCCAGCGGGGAAGACAACACCACACUCAGCUCUGCAACCAGAAAUGUCAGAAACACGGCCAAAGGACACAGGAGAGCCACAGGAACGAGAACCCUCUACAGUGGCACAAGCUGUCCUCAUCCUGCAUGGAGCAGCUAACCUGGUCACCUAUCCUGACAACACUCAGCUCCACAGGAUGGCCCAUGACAAGGAAUAAAUCAUUCCCAGGUGUCUGUGCACGCACUUGAACAAGGUUCAAAGAAGUGGUUUCACACGAGUGGUUUCCCAGCCCCAGCUAUAUCCUCCCAUCUUGAUUUCAGAGUGAUUUCCAGAAUUAUUCCUACUCUUUCAGUCAUUUUCACCAGACCAGAGGCUGGUCCUGCUCUGCACAAGUGAUUGUGCUGUUGAUUUCAUCCUCCCUAAGCUCAGCCAGCGCAGUUCUGUGCCCUGGCAUGAUAUUAAAUGCAAAGAGAUUUUAGGAAGUUAACUAUGAGGCCAUGGUAAAGGAUUUUUCAGCAAAAUCAGGACCAGAUUUGAAAAAACAUUCAAGUCCUGACAGGAGCAGCAACACUAAACAGAGAUAAGGUGAAUACUGCAGGAAGGCAUUUUGUUAAUAAAAACCCCAAAACCAAGAGUUUACUGACUGAAACCACUGACCCUCAGUGAAACUGGAAUGGGAAAAUUAUCAAAAUGUUUUCAUUUUGUAUUUCAAAUUAUAACUCCUAAGUAAGUACCUAGGUAAAGGUAUUGUAAAAAAACAACCAAACAGGUAUUGAAAAGUCCAACAAAAAUCAAGGACUUUUAGUUUUGCUAGCUAACAAAUAACUCAAUUACUCACCCAGCA
This is a long non-coding RNA of Catharus ustulatus (Swainson's thrush), 1084 nucleotides long. RefSeq lists it as uncharacterized. Lineage: Eukaryota; Metazoa; Chordata; Aves; Passeriformes; Turdidae. The record is from RefSeq and is a predicted model, not a curated record. The transcript is spliced from 4 exons.